RNAcentral lists this long non-coding RNA (265 nucleotides) under Bos taurus (domestic cattle). RNAcentral's name for it is "long non-coding RNA NONBTAT015337". The record is from RNAcentral. Lineage: Eukaryota; Metazoa; Chordata; Mammalia; Artiodactyla; Bovidae.
UCCGAGUGGUAAGAAACAGGAUGAUAAAUAUUAUGGUUUAGCUCCUUUAUCUCCAUUCUCUCUCCCUUUCAGAGUGUUAUAUUGCUGCUAGGGCUGAAAAGUGAUUCUACAUUUCUCAGACUUCCUCACAGCUCAGGUUUAUGUGUGAACUGAUGUGCCUCCAUACUAUUUGGAAUCCAGAGCUGAAGUCCACAUGCUGCUGCUGCUGCAGGGUCUGCAGGGGAAGCGUUUGUGGUUCUGCAACAGUGAUAGCAGGAUGGCUGUA